CAGCUACUCUUCUGCCGCGGCUUUCUUACUUCUUUUCUCUUCUCGGCUUAUUUGGGUUGGCUUCUUUGCCCACGACUGUCACUCUCCACCAAAGACAGAGGAUCCGAUGCAGGAGGCAGACAGAGCUGGGCUUCAACGCCAUGCCACUUGCUGUAGCUGGAGCCUUAUCUGAAAAGGUGAGAGGGACCACGUCAGCCUGCAGACCCACCCACCAACCACUUAAGGUCAAGACAACAAGCUCUUCCCAAGGCAAACCAACCCUAGGACAAAAAUAGAGCCAUCAUUCUGACCCAUUGUCCUUCCGACCAAUUCCUUGGCUUCCCAGCCAUUUGGAAACCUCACUGGGAAGUUUGGAGACCUGUGCUUGCAGGCUGGCCUGGCACAGACAGGCCAGGGUCAGCAGCCCAAAUAAACAUGGUGCCCCACAGAGAUGGUCCCGCAGCCAAACAGCUCUCAGCAGCUUGACUCAAAGUCACCUGGACAGGCCUGACGGAAAUGCAGGAUGGCCCAGCCUUUCCCUAAUGGGUUUUCCAGAGUCAAUCCAUCAUUCUGCCCAGAGAACUGGAGAAUGAAAAACAGAUCAGGUGCCACGGGACUGUGACCGCUUCCUUGGAAAUGGAAGCAGGUGAAGGAGAGAAUGACACAGCUGGGGGCCCUGGGGGAUGCUGGCAGGCAACGGGCUUCUGGGUUCAAGUGAGAAGGCUGAGACACUGGCAUGAACGAAAGCUGGCACAGGCUGCCCCGGGCAGGGCUCUUUCUGGGCACCAGGCAAGGCCCGCGGCUUUGGGAGCUGCCCCAAGCCGGCGGUCCUGCCAGCGCUCCAUUCACCCUGUGCAAUGUAUUAAUUAGCAAGCGGUUUUGGCGCUGGGAAGGUUGCCGUGGCUUCUGAUGAAUAUAACAGAAAAGAGGCAAGUCCAUCCACAGGCACCUCUGAGGAUUCUCAGCUCUCGAGUGCCUGAGAGGAACUUCCACUAGAGAGAAGGCUGGAGUGGGAUGACCCCUGCCGGGGGCGGAUGCACUUGUGGAGCUGGGUCUGGCAGGAGAAGUGGGGUGGAGAGCAGAGACUGCAGGCCUGUCCCCCACCCCCAGCUCUCAGUUACAGCUCGUUUGGCUUCAGCUGUGCUUUUAACCUCUCAGGAGGUAGAUGGAAGCCUGCAGUCGGCGUGCGCCUUCCUCUUCGCUGCCCGGACGGGGCCUGGAUCCUUUCUAACUGUGAGUACAGAAGGAGGACACCUCCCGUUUGGAUCCUGGAUUGUAGGCCAGGUCUACCUAGAAGCCAAUCACUCAAGGGACGGCUCAACGGUUCACUAAGGACAGCGUGGGAGGAAAACGUGGCCCAGCCUGAUAGAUAUCUCAGUCUUUUCACCCAGACCGACGCCAGCAAAGCUAAAAAUAAAUCAGCUUUCAGGUCUGGGCACAGAGGCCUGGAAGGCGCAAGCGUUCAUGAGCCAGCAGUAAUGAUGGAACCAGCCCUCUCGUGUGGAAGUCUCUCUGAGUGAACCAGAUGUCGUUGGCCCUAGGAGAUCCACGACCAAGAGUUGAGUUUUCACAGCGUUGAAAGGCCAGCAUUGGCCCUAACGCUAUUGGCCUCAGCAGAAGUCAGGAGCAAGAGUGAAGACCUAAUGAAGAGAGAGAGAGGCUGGAGAGUCUGGACAGAAACCUGCGAGCCUUAGAUUCUCAUGCUGUCUCAUCAAGCGCAGGGCCCAGCUUUUCAUCCAGUGAAGGGUUCCAUGCAGCCCAGAACCACCAUGGCCUUGGAGAAGAGGCUCAGAAGCAGGAGUCAGGAAGCAGAAGCCCUGGCCACUUUGUGGUUGUAGAGUCAUCAUCUAGAAGAGAGAACCAUGAAAUGUAUGUGUAGAAAGACAGCUGGCCUCUCUUCCCACAGGAGUUAACGAUCCAGAGGGGAAGACGAUUUGAGCUCUUUACAGACCCGCGUUAUACAUGACUGGCUGCUGAUCCAUCUCCUUCUCGCUGACCAGGACGAGGAAACUGACUGACAUCGUCAAGCAGCAGCAGUGAAGAUGCAGCGUAGACUUUCUGGACAGACCGGUUGCCAAGAACCAAACUGUGGAAGGAGUAAUAAGUAUUCAUUUAACACCCAGUUAUAUAACACAUAUAUAUCAUAUAACAGAGUUAUAUGAUAGGCACUCUGGGGUAAAAAAAUAAAAAUCACCGAACCGACUCUUAACCUCAAUUUGGGUAUUGAAGAAAGGAUUGUCUUGCCUUGCACAUAGUAGGCAUUUAGUAAAUGUUGAAUUGAAGAAUAUAAUCGAACGGUGAUUCAGCUGAGGGAAGGCCUACACAGAGGAAGGGGGAUCUCAAAUCUCUUCCAAAACUGUAAGAAUGACAAGGCAGGAUGUUCUGUGCAAGGCUGGAGUCACAGCUUUCAAAGACAAUUCAAAUGCUACGUGGUCAAGGCACAAGGGGAAAAACAGCCUCUUGAAUCCCUAAUUGUUUACUUCCUUAAGAGAGUAAGUUUAGCUGGCGGCAUGGAGCUUAUUCAUUCAUUCAUUCAUUCACUUACUCAUCCUGUAAUUAUGAAGCAGUUCUAUAUACUAGGUGCUGGGCUCAGCACUAAGGGUAGAGCAGUUGAAAUAAGAUGAACAGUUUCUUGUCCUCAGGAAGCCUCUAGUCCAGGGAGGAAGUCAGACAUUGAAAAUAGAUGUUCCAGCUGUGAUGAAUGGAUCGAUAGGGGCAAUCAAAGUGCUAUGGAUAUCAUUUGUCGUGUACUGCAAGUUUAUUAACCUAGGAAUAGAUUCAAACAUUGUCAUGUACAUAUUGUGACCAUGACUUUGCAAAUGAACUUUUAACAAACAUAUUGAGACUUAUGCAUAUAAAUAAGUGUUUUUUCCAACAAAGACUCACUUUGGAAGCCCGUGUUCAUAUUUCAAUGAUACUUUUCUGGUUACUGGAUGCUGAGAAAAUACAGACUGACAUCCACUUAACUGAGGUACAGGGGGACGCUGGACCACAAUGGGGAGGAGGUGCUGAAAGCCUCAGAGACCAGCUGGAUGUGCUUUCUCAGAUGUCAGGCUGCACCAGUGUACAUCGCACCCAUCAGGUCAGCCACAGGACCUCAGAAUGUCCAAGCAGUAUCAAGAGGAGCCUUGGAGGUCAUCUGCUUCCGUCUCCUUAUAUGUAGAUGAGGAAAUAGGUUAAGGACGUUUUUGAGGUCACACAGCAUACCGGCAGCCGGCUGUCUUAGACCCAAAUUCUCCUGAAUUGGUUUCCUCUCCAUCCCUGCUUCUUAGGCACCUCAGACACCUGAAAUUGUUACCAACCAUUGCACACAUUCGAUGCAGAAGUUUCGAAAUGGAAGCCUAUGGGCUGUAUCCGGCAUGCAUAGCUGAUCUUAGUUGCCUGCAAAGUAUAAACAUUGAGAUGAUAUUUCAAAAAUCAGGAGAUAUUUACAUAAACAUUCAGAAUCUUAGCUUCUCUUGAAAAUAUAGAAAACACUGGAACACCAAGACAAAAAUCAUCAGAAGCCAGGUUUUUCUCCAUAUUAACCACAAUCGUGCAUAUUCACUUGUAAGAGUUACACUAACAAGAGUUAGCUGAUGGCUCUGUGAGACUUGCUUGCUACCUCUGGUAAGUGUGUGCUUCAGGGUCCCCACCAAACUUCUAUCACAUCCCCAGUCCACUUGUCCUCACUCUAAAUGAGGCCAGUGCCCUACCCUCCGAAUUUAGCCAAGCCCAUUCACUACCGUCUCCAAUGCCUCUCGUACUGGUCCUCUCCUCCUGCCCUCUGCAGGGACCCAUCUUCCUAUUUGUGGAAGAUGUUCCCCCUUCUAUUUAAUAUUUCUACCAAACUGCUUUUUUCUUCAGCAUCCCCAGUAACACUUUGGCAGAGGACAUUAAACCAUAAUUCAUGGGUAGUCUUCAGGAAGACAGAAAAUUCUCAAAAUUUGUAUGCAAAAUUUUGAGUGCAUGUAUAUUUUUAAAGGAAACUGUCC
This is a long non-coding RNA of Equus caballus (horse), 3953 nucleotides long. Lineage: Eukaryota; Metazoa; Chordata; Mammalia; Perissodactyla; Equidae. The record is from Ensembl.